Molecule: ribosomal RNA, 2971 nt
Filed under: Moorella thermoacetica Y72
Lineage: Bacteria; Bacillati; Bacillota; Clostridia; Neomoorellales; Neomoorellaceae
Description: bacterial LSU rRNA
Rfam family: Bacterial large subunit ribosomal RNA
Source: RNAcentral
UCAAGCUAGUAAGGGCAUACGGUGGAUGCCUGGGCGCUAAGAGGCGAAGAAGGGCGUGGUAAGCUGCGAAAAGCCUCGGGGAGCCGCAAGCAGGCGUUGAUCCGGGGAUACCCGAAUGGGGCAACCCACCUGGAGUAAUAUCCAGGUACCCUGUACUGAACCCAUAGGUACAGGGGGCGAACCGGGGGAACUGAAACAUCUUAGUACCCCGAGGAAGAGAAAGCAAACGCGAUUCCCCUAGUAGCGGCGAGCGAAGAGGGAAGAGCCCAAACCUUAUGCAUGUAGAAGGCUGCAACCGUUGUGCAUAAGGGGUUGCGGGGCUUCCGGGAGCAGUUGCAGAUGCUCGACGAAAGCGAAGGCUGUAGGAGAACAGGACUGGAACGUCCGGCCAUAGGGGGUAAGAGCCCCGUAUCCGAAACGGCCUAAAGCUUUCGGGAAGGACCCCAAGUACCACGGGACACGAGGAAUCCCGUGGGAAUCCGGGAGGACCACCUUCCAAGGCUAAAUACUCCUUAGCGACCGAUAGCGCACUAGUACCGUGAGGGAAAGGUGAAAAGCACCCCGGGAGGGGAGUGAAAUAGAACCUGAAACCGUAUGCCCACAAGCAGUCAGAGGGCGUUAAAGCCUGAUGGCGUACUUUUUGUAGAACGGGCCGGCGAGUUACGUUAACGAGCGAGGUUAAGGGGAAGACCCGGAGCCGGAGCGAAAGCGAGUCUGAAAAGGGCGUUAGUUCGUUGACGUAGACCCGAAACCGGGUGAUCUACCCAUGGGCAGGGUGAAGCGGGAUUAAACUCUCGUGGAGGCCCGAACCGACCGGCGUUGAAAAGUCGGCGGAUGACCUGUGGGUAGGGGUGAAAUGCCAAUCGAACCCGGAGAUAGCUGGUUCUCCCCGAAAUAGCUUUAGGGCUAGCCUCAAGGAAAGACUAACGGAGGUAGAGCACUGAUAAGGCUAGGGGCCUUACCAGGUUACCGAACCUUUUCAAACUCCGAAUGCCGUUAAGUCAACCUUGGGAGUCAGACUGCGGGUGCAAAGAUCCGUAGUCGAGAGGGAAACAGCCCAGACCAACAGCUAAGGUCCCCAAAGACGGGCUAAGUGGAGAAGGAUGUAGAGUUGCUUAAACAACCAGGAUGUUGGCUUAGAAGCAGCCAUCAUUUAAAGAGUGCGUAAUAGCUCACUGGUCGAGUGACUCUGCGCCGAAAAUGUAGCGGGGCUCAAGCCCGUUACCGAAGCUUUGGAUCCCGCGAGGGAUGGUAGGGGAGCGUUCUGCAGGCAGCGAAGGUGUACCGGAAGGAGCGCUGGAGUCUGCAGAAGUGAGAAUGCCGGCAUAAGUAAGCGAGAAGGCAGGUGAGAAUCCUGCCCGCCGAAAACCUAAGGGUUCCUGGGGAAGGCUCGUCCACCCAGGGUAAGUCGGGACCUAAGCCGAGGCGAAGAGCGUAGGCGAUGGGCAAUCGGUUGAAAUUCCGAUACCACCAAAGAGUCGUUAUUAGGAUGGGGUGACGCAGGAGGGUAGGCACAGCGCACGAUUGGAAGAGUGCGUCCAAGCCUGUAGGGCGUGAGGUAGGCAAAUCCGCCUCACAAAGAGCCUGAGAGGUGACGGGGAGCGAAAUUAAGUAGCGAACUGGCUGAGCCCAAACUGCCGAGAAAAGCCUCUAACGAGACUCUAGGUGCCCGUACCGCAAACCGACACAGGUAGGUGGGGAGAGGAUCCCAAGGCGCGCGAGCGAACCUUCGUUAAGGAACUCGGCAAAAUGACCCCGUAACUUCGGGAGAAGGGGUACCCCGUUAGGGUGACAGUAGAGCAUACUGGAGCCCGAGGGGGUCGCAGAGAAGUGGCCCAAGCGACUGUUUACCAAAAACACAGGUGCCUGCUAAAGCGCAAGCUGAAGUAUAGGUGCUGACGCCUGCCCGGUGCUGGAAGGUUAAGGGGAAGGGUUAGUCGAAAGGCGAAGCUCUGAACCGAAGCCCCAGUAAACGGCGGCCGUAACUAUAACGGUCCUAAGGUAGCGAAAUUCCUUGUCGGGUAAGUUCCGACCCGCACGAAAGGCGUAACGAUUUGGGCACUGUCUCAACGAAGGGCUCGGUGAAAUUGUAGUACCCGUGAAGAUGCGGGUUACCUGCGAUAGGACAGAAAGACCCCGUGGAGCUUUACUGUAGCCUGACAUUGGGUUUUGGUGCUUCAUGUACAGGAUAGGUGGGAGGCAGCGAACCACUGCCGCCAGGUAGUGGGGAGCCGACGGUGGGAUACCACUCUUGAAGCACUGAAAUUCUAACCCGAGUCCGUAAACCGGACUGGGGACCGUGUCAGGUGGGCAGUUUGACUGGGGCGGUCGCCUCCUAAAAGGUAACGGAGGCGUCCAAAGGUUCCCUCAGCGCGGUUAGAAAUCGCGCGUAGAGUGCAAAGGCAGAAGGGAGCUUGACUGCGAGACCGACGGGUCGAGCAGGGACGAAAGUCGGGCUUAGUGAUCCGGUGGUCCCGAGUGGAAGGGCCAUCGCUCAACGGAUAAAAGCUACCCCGGGGAUAACAGGCUUAUCCCGCCCAAGAGUCCACAUCGACGGCGGGGUUUGGCACCUCGAUGUCGGCUCAUCGCAUCCUGGGGCUGAAGUAGGUCCCAAGGGUUGGGCUGUUCGCCCAUUAAAGCGGUACGUGAGCUGGGUUCAGAACGUCGUGAGACAGUUCGGUCCCUAUCCAUCGCAGGCGGAGGAAACUUGAGAGGAGCUGUCCCUAGUACGAGAGGACCGGGAUGGACAGACCGCUGGUGUACCAGCUGUCCCGCCAGGGGCACCGCUGGGUAGCCAAGUCUGGAUGGGAUAAGCGCUGAAAGCAUCUAAGCGCGAAGCCCACCUCAAGAUGAGGUUUCCCAUGGCAAAAGCCAGUAAGACCCCUGGAAGACGACCAGGUAGAUAGGCCAGGAGUGUAAGGGGGGUAACCCCUUGAGCGGACUGGUACUAAUCGGUCGAGGGCUUGACCAU